Long non-coding RNA from Spea bombifrons (plains spadefoot toad), 533 nucleotides. RefSeq lists it as uncharacterized. The record is from RefSeq and is a predicted model, not a curated record. NCBI's taxonomy places the organism in Eukaryota, Metazoa, Chordata, Amphibia, Anura, Pelobatidae. The transcript has 2 exons.
UCAUUCCUACGCAUGCGCUGUGCGCCGCAUCCUCCCGCUGAGCAGCCGCACUGCGCGUGCGCCGACUGAAUGCCAACCAAGCGACGCAUGCGCCACCACACAGACCACGGCUUCCAGCCACUUGGCGCAUGCAUUGAGAGCUGCGAUCGACACUCCACGCAGGCACUAGCGCUCCGCCUUUUGAAUGACGUAACACGCAGGGAACGUCAUAACAGGACACCUUUAAGGAGCAGGAGGGGCUUCAGAGGCACGGUGGGUCCAAAACCAUCCAUCUACCUUCCCUGUGCAGCCAUCUCGUGAUGUAUUAAAGCAGAAUGUUAACAUAUGAUGUCAUAUCACAGAGCUCUGCUUCCAGGAGGUCAUGCCGGAGCUGCGAUUGGGUUUUCAGGCAGUAAAUAUUUUAUGGAGACAUUUCCGCGCUCAUCAAUCUGUACAGAAAACAUUGUGGUUUUGCCACUCCUGUUUUCUCACCUUCUACUUAUUAGAAUGUAAAUUGAAUAACAUUAAAACUUUCUUUUUUUCGUAUCGUACAA